CCGACGGUGAGAGGUGAAAGCUGGGGGAGCAAACCGGAUUAGAUACCCGGGUAGUCCCAGCUGUAAACGAUGCGCGUUAGGUGUGUCAGUGACCACGUGUCACUGAUGUGCCGAAGGGAAACCGUGAAACGCGCCGCCUGGGGAGUACGGUCGCAAGGCUGAAACUUGAAGGAAUUGGCGGGGGAGCACCACAACGGGUGGAGCCUGCGGUUUAAUCGGACUCAACGCCGGAAAUCUCACCGGAUAA
Molecule: ribosomal RNA, 247 nt
Filed under: uncultured archaeon
Lineage: Archaea
Description: partial 16S ribosomal RNA
Rfam family: Archaeal small subunit ribosomal RNA
Source: RNAcentral